Long non-coding RNA from Saccostrea echinata, 557 nucleotides. RefSeq lists it as uncharacterized. The transcript has 3 exons. The record is from RefSeq and is a predicted model, not a curated record. Lineage: Eukaryota; Metazoa; Mollusca; Bivalvia; Ostreida; Ostreidae.
GUUACAUAGUUUUACAAGUCUUUGAUUUCUUGUCUAUUAUCAAUAAGUUGAUGUUCUCAUUAGCUGGGUAAUCCAACUCGAAAAAUUGGGAUGCCAGGAAUUGUUUCAUCCUAACCAGAUAAUAAAUUGCCAGUUUUCUCCUUUCAUUAGCAUACAGGAAGUCAAACAAUAAGCUGCUACAAAGGGACAAGGUCAUCAUUAUAGCUCAUUAUCACAGGAAGUGGGUUUUAUUACAAAUGACCUUGACCUUAGGAGACAGAGUAUUAAGUGCAGUUUCCAGAGCACUUAAAUCUUUAACAAACUUUAAUACCAGACAAUUCAGGCACUGGUUAAUGCAAGGUUAAACCAGUCAAAGCUAAUGCUUGACAAUUAUAUGAUCAGAUGAAAUGAUGGGACAUGGUGUAAAAUGAAGACAUCAAAAUUGACUAAUCACUGGCUGAACUGAGAACCCUUCUGUAACUUCCAAAAACAUGAUAAAUGUCACUUUAAAAUGCAGUAAAAUUUGGAAUUACCAUUGUCUACUCCUCAGAUUGGUUACAGAAACUAUGCAUUAAUAU